CAGCAGCCGCGGGAAUACGAAGGGUGCAAGCGUUACUCGGAAUUACUGGGCGUAAAGCGUGCGUAGGUGGUGGUUUAAGUCCGUUGUGAAAGCCCUGGGCUCAACCUGGGAAUUGCAGUGGAUACUGGGUCACUAGAGUGUGGUAGAGGAUAGUGGAAUUUCCGGUGUAGCAGUGAAAUGCGUAGAGAUCGGAAGGAACAUCUGUGGCGAAGGCGACUAUCUGGGCCAACACUGACACUGAGGCACGAAAGCGUGGGGAGCAAACAGGAUUAGAUACCCGUGUAGUCCCUGUCUCUUAUAA
RNAcentral lists this ribosomal RNA (301 nucleotides) under uncultured bacterium. RNAcentral describes it as "partial 16S ribosomal RNA". It matches the Rfam family "Bacterial small subunit ribosomal RNA", at positions 509 to 809 of the family's 1533-position model. The record is from RNAcentral.